RNAcentral lists this transfer RNA (69 nucleotides) under Desmognathus fuscus (dusky salamander). RNAcentral describes it as "tRNA-Thr". It matches the Rfam family "tRNA". Rfam says of the family: Transfer RNA (tRNA) molecules are approximately 80 nucleotides in length. Their secondary structure includes four short double-helical elements and three loops (D, anti-codon, and T loops). Lineage: Eukaryota; Metazoa; Chordata; Amphibia; Caudata; Plethodontidae. The record is from RNAcentral.
GCUUAUGUAGUUUAGAAAAACAUUGGUCUUGUAAACCAAAAACGGAGAAUUACUAUCUCCCAUAAGCCA